UACGGGGGGGGCAAGCGUUGUUCGGAAUUACUGGGCGUAAAGGGCUCGUAGGCGGCCAACUAAGUCGGAUGUGAAAUCCCCAGGCUUAACCUGGGAACUGCAUCCGAUACUGGAUGGCUUGAAUCCGGGAGAGGGAUGCAGAAUUCCAGGUGUAGCGGUGAAAUGCGUAGAUAUCUGGAGGAAUACCGGUGGCGAAGGCGGCAUCCUGGACUGACACUGACGCUGAGGCGCGAAAGCUAGGGGAGCAAACGGG
This 253-nucleotide ribosomal RNA is filed under the name uncultured bacterium. Its description in RNAcentral is "partial 16S ribosomal RNA". It matches the Rfam family "Bacterial small subunit ribosomal RNA", at positions 524 to 776 of the family's 1533-position model. The record is from RNAcentral.